RNAcentral lists this transfer RNA (71 nucleotides) under Cuscuta macrocephala. RNAcentral describes it as "tRNA-Gly". It matches the Rfam family "tRNA". Rfam says of the family: Transfer RNA (tRNA) molecules are approximately 80 nucleotides in length. Their secondary structure includes four short double-helical elements and three loops (D, anti-codon, and T loops). Further hydrogen bonds mediate the characteristic L-shaped molecular structure. tRNAs have two regions of fundamental functional importance: the anti-codon, which is responsible for specific mRNA codon recognition, and the 3' end, to which the tRNAs corresponding amino acid is attached (by aminoacyl-tRNA synthetases). tRNAs cope with the degeneracy of the genetic code in two manners: having more than one tRNA (with a specific anti-codon) for a particular amino acid; and 'wobble' base-pairing, i.e. permitting non-standard base-pairing at the 3rd anti-codon position. Lineage: Eukaryota; Viridiplantae; Streptophyta; Magnoliopsida; Solanales; Convolvulaceae. The record is from RNAcentral.
GCGGAUAUGGUUAAAUGGUAAAAUCUCUCUUUGCCAAGGAGAAGAUGCGGGUUCGAUUCCCGCUAUCCGCA